Molecule: non-coding RNA, 2778 nt
Organism: Punica granatum (pomegranate)
Lineage: Eukaryota; Viridiplantae; Streptophyta; Magnoliopsida; Myrtales; Lythraceae
Source: RefSeq, a predicted model, not a curated record
UGACCUGUAAAUGCAUAUAGAAUAAUCAUUUAACUUUUGAAGCCCUCACCCUGACAAUCGUGCCGGCACAACGGCAAGCUUGGCUCCACCUGCUAAGUUUCGGCAUCAGCACAAUUGUCAUUAUUAGAAUAUAUUUUGAUAUCAUUAGGAUACUCUUGCAUUAACUUUUCCCCCUUCUUUUUGACUUCAGACUGAAGUCUUCAGUCGAUUGUCUCUUCUUAUUGUUGUUCUCCAGUUCAAUCGACUCACUCUUUGCUCUAACCUCCAAUUACUCCGAUUAUUUGCUUCUUCGUGCUUUAUUCCGGCUUCUUAGAGCUUCCUCGAGCUUCUUAGAGCUCUGCUUGGUCAAAGAACUUCCUGGAGGUGCCAUUCUCUUUGAGGUGACAUGCAGAUGCUUCUGAUGUUCUAUACUCAGACUCAUUCUGGUGAAUCUGGUAAUGCAUCGGCUAGUAAUACCGAAGUAGUGGUCAAAUCUAAAAAAAAAAUACAAGUGGAGUUAGAGAUGAUUCGGUAUGAGCACACGGUUAUGAAGUUCCGAGAGAGAGGUUAAAGAUUAACUGCAAAUACUGUGACAAGAUGUUUCUGGAGGUCCCUAUAGAUUGAAGCAUCACUUGGGAUGUACCAAGAUUAACGUGGCACCUUGUCUAGUUUUUUUUUUUAUGAAUAAAAAGGCUAGGUCGAGUUAUUAGCCUGCUGUGGCGGCCUAAACUAAGAGAACCUAACCACCACAGAAUGUUCCUUUCGCCAUAGCUCGCUGAGACUUUAGCCCAAUUUGGUCAACGCAGCCCCACCAACACACUAGUAAAUUAAGUCCAAAGCCCACUAGAUCAAGCAUUAUGGGUCGGCCACCGCCAUCCCAUAAUACACACACAUAGUGGCGAGCUCUAUGUCCUCAGUGAGGUUCGAACUCGUGAUGUUCAAGUGGAGCGCUUGAUGCUUAACCACUAGACCACCGUGCUGGUGGUGGCACCUUGUCUUGUUGGUCCUGAUAAUGUGAAGAAUAAUAUGUUCACAAUUUGUAUGUGUUUAGAGGACCUUGCAACGAAGAAAAAAUAAGCUAAUAGUUGUAGGUUGGAAGAUGAUGAUGUUGUAGACAUUGAUAAUGAUGAUGAAGAUGCAAGGGCUAGUAUAAAGAAGAAGGAAAAUGAAACAACUGAAAUUUCUAGUUUGUUUAAGAAGAAAAGUUUGAAUAUUCAAAGUAAGCAAAAGCAGUCAACAAUUAAUCAGAUGAUGAAGAAAGAUUUGAGAGAGGAUGUGUGCAUGCAGAUUGCUUAUUUUUUCUAUACAAGUGCAAUUCCAUUUAAUUGUGUUAAGAAUCCUGAGUUUGAGAAGAUGUGUCAUUUGAUUGGAAAAUAUGGAAUUUGAUUGAAACUUCCAUCUUAUCAUGAGAUUAGAGAUAAAUAUUUGAGAAAAGAGGUUGAUAAUACCAUAUCAUUACUUGAGGAGCAUAAGGUUGUAUGGAGAAAGUCGGGAUGUUCCAUAAUGUUAGAUGGUUGGAUUGAUAAGAAGAAGAUGUCCAUAUGCAAUUUCAUAGUGAAUAGUCCCCAAUGAAAUAAUUUUUUUGACUUCCAUUGACAUAUCAUACAUAUUUAAGAGUGUAGAUAAAGUAUUUGAGAUGAUAGAUGAUAUAGUAGAGCAAGUUGAGGAAGAAAAUGUAGUUCAAAUUGUCACGUAUAAUGCUGCCAAUUACAAGGCGGUAGGUGAGAUGUUAAUGGAGAAAAUGAAAAAAAGUUAUUUUAGACUCCUUAUACAGCUCAUUGCAUAGAUCUUAUGCUGGAGGAUUUGGAGAAGAAGAUUAAGGUACAUGAGCUAACGACAAUAAAUGGUAGGAAGAUCACGACCUUCACUUACUCGAGAACACUCAUCAUCACGAUACUGAAGCAUUUCACCAAGGGCAAAGAUUUGACUAGAUCGGCUGUGACUCACUUUGCUACUGCUUAUUUGACUUUGGGAUGCCUCUCCGACAAUAGAAACGCUCUAAGGACUAUGUUUGCAUCCAAACAAUGGAAAUGGAGUCGAUUUGCAUAGUUAGAAGGUGGAAAGUAUGCGGAACGUGCUAUUAUGGAUAACAGAUUUUGGAAUAAUAUUAAUAUAAGUUUGAAGGCUGAAUCUCCUCUCAUUAAGGUGCUCCGCAUGGUGGAUUCAGAUCAAAAGCCCACGAUGGGCUUUAUUUAUAAUGAGAUAGAGAAAGCUAAGCUGAAAAUCAAGGCAAACUUCAAGGGUGAUCGAGAGAUGUAAAAUUAUUUAUAAGCUACUAUAUAUUUAGUCUUUAAUUAUAUUUGAAAUUUGUAAAUAUCAAAUAAUGGUUUGUUUCAUACUUUUAGCUAUGUUUAUAUUUGGAAGGUUAUUGAUGAGAGAUGUGAGGUUCAACUUCAUAGGUCUCUCUAUGCUGCUGCUUAUUACUUGAAUCUCUAGUUGCAUUUCUCUUCUGAAUUUAGAGCUAAUAGGGAAGUCAUGCGUGGAUUAUAUAAGAUUAUGGAUAGGAUGCUAGAUGAUGAAGAGAGGGAUAAGGUCGAUUUGCAGUUAGAGGAAUUCAAACAUGAAAGAUGGCUCUUUGGAUUCUCAUCUGCGAAGUCUAUGAGGUUCAAGAAGACACCGACAGAUUGGUGGGAGUCAUAUGGUGCUGAUACCCCAGAGUUGUAAAGAUUCAGUAUAAGAAUAUUGAGUUUGACUUGUACCUUUUCGGGAUGUAAGCGUAAUUAGAGUGCUUUUGAAAUUGUAUUCUAUGAAUUCGUUUUUUUACUAUGUGUUACCUUACCAGAGUUCAUUUUCAUAUAU